GCCUCUGUGGUGAAAUGGAUAUCACGCGUGGCUUCGGACCACGAAUUGGGGGUUCAAAUCCUCCCGGAGGCA
Molecule: transfer RNA, 72 nt
Filed under: Candidatus Parcubacteria bacterium
Lineage: Bacteria; Candidatus Parcubacteria
Description: tRNA-Arg
Rfam family: tRNA
About the family: Transfer RNA (tRNA) molecules are approximately 80 nucleotides in length.
Source: RNAcentral